RNAcentral lists this transfer RNA (75 nucleotides) under Spirochaetes bacterium ADurb.Bin218. RNAcentral describes it as "tRNA-Phe". It matches the Rfam family "tRNA". Rfam says of the family: Transfer RNA (tRNA) molecules are approximately 80 nucleotides in length. Their secondary structure includes four short double-helical elements and three loops (D, anti-codon, and T loops). Lineage: Bacteria; Pseudomonadati; Spirochaetota. The record is from RNAcentral.
UGGUCAGGUAGCUCAGUCGGUAGAGCAGGGGACUGAAAAUCCCCGUGUCGAUGGUUCGAUUCCGUCCCUGACCAA